This 300-nucleotide long non-coding RNA is filed under the name Prunus dulcis (almond). RNAcentral's name for it is "sRNA ncRNA". The record is from RNAcentral. Lineage: Eukaryota; Viridiplantae; Streptophyta; Magnoliopsida; Rosales; Rosaceae.
AUUUAACAAGAAUAUCAUAUUUUAUCACUUAAUAUUUGCCUUCCAAACAAAGCCAAUAUUUACCGUACUUGAUUCUCUUGCCAUUGAACGAGGAAAUAAACGAACAGUAUAUUAUAAUAAGAAGUAGGAAAAGAAAACGAAAAUAUUGCAAUAUUAUAUUAUUAUUGCCUAAUUACUUACUAUGAGAUUAUUACGAUUUUGAGUUCUAUACAUACAAGAGGACUUGUGCUAAUGUGUUAUCUCUUCUCUAUCCGCUUCAUAUAUUUUAUAAAUAGCCAGCAAUAUCUUAGGGAAUACAAG